UUCUGGUUGAUCCUGCCAGAGGCGACCGCUAUUGGAGUUCGAUUAAGCCAUGCGAGUCGAGAGCUUUAGGAGCUCGGCAUACUGCUCAGUAACACGUGGAUAACCUGCCCUGUGCUCUGGGAUAACCUCGGGAAACUGAGAAUAAUACCGGAUAGUCCACCACGCCUGGAACGGUGGGUGGAUCAAAGGUCACGGCACAGGAUGGGUCUGCGGCGUAUCAGGUUGUAGGGGGUGUAAAGGACCCCCUAGCCAUUGACGCGUACGGGUUGUGGGAGCAAUCGCCCGGAGAUGGAUUCUGAGACACGAAUCCAGACCCUACGGGGUGCAGCAGGCGCGAAAACUUCACACUGCAGGAAACUGUGAUGAGGGAACUCCAAGUGCAUGCACAAUGUGUAUGCUUUUCCUUACUUUUAAUCGGUUUGGGAAUAAGGGCUGGGAAAGACCGGUGCCAGCCGCCGCGGUAAUACCGGCAGCUCAAGUGGUCGUCGCUUUUAUUGGGCCUAAAACGUCCGUAGCCUGUUUGGUAAAUCUGUGGGUAAAUCAACCAGCUUAACUGGUUGAAUUCUGCAGAGACUGCCAGACUAGGGACCGGGAGAGGUGUGGGGUACUCUCGGGGUAGGGGUAAAAUCCUGUCAUCCUGGGAGGACCACCAGUUGCGAAGGCGCCACACUGGAACGGAUCCGACGGUCAGGGACGAAGCCUAGGGGCACGAACCGGAUUAGAUACCCGGGUAGUCCUAGGAGUAAACGCUGUGAACUUGGUGUC
Molecule: ribosomal RNA, 765 nt
Filed under: uncultured Candidatus Poseidoniales archaeon
Lineage: Archaea; Methanobacteriati; Thermoplasmatota; Candidatus Poseidoniia; Candidatus Poseidoniales
Description: bacterial SSU rRNA
Rfam family: Archaeal small subunit ribosomal RNA
Source: RNAcentral